AAUUUUGGUUUUUCCUCAAACAGGAGACCGUGGAUAUCCUUGCACCCCCUGGCUCAUGACUCCUUACCGUAAUCCCAGGCCAGGACCACAGACGGCAUUUAACUCCGCGCUUACUGCCACUAGGCAGCUGGUGGAGCGCACAAUUGGGGUCCUUAAAGGGCGGUUUCGUGUGCUCCACCGCACUGGUGGCGACAUCAUGUAUUCGCCGGAGAUGGCAAGUAAACCAGUGGUUCUGUGCGCAAUACUACACAAUAUCGCGGUAAGGAGUAGCGUAGAGCUUCCUCAGACAGAGGAAUUGCCUGAUGAGGAGCCAGGGGUUGUUCGACACUUCGGUGGGGGGAGUGUUACACGGAGGGGGAGCCAAGUCAGGGCAAGCAUUGUUGCUGAAUAUUUCAGCUGAAUGAUCACACAAACUGUGGACGAGAACAACGGCAGACCUCUCAGCCCCCUUCCCCUUCCCAGUCCCCCUCCCCUUCUCACUCCCCCUCCCCUUCUCACUCCCCCUCCCCUUCUCACUCCCCCUCCCCUUCGCAGUCCUCCUCAGCUUCCCAGUCCCCCUCAGCUAUCCAGUCCCCCUCAGCUUCCCAGUCCCACUCCACUUUCCACUCCCCUUCUCACACCACCUCUCUAUCUCUUUCUGUGACCCCUUCUCCUCCUUCCCAUACCCCUUCUCCUUCAACUUCAAACUCACCUUCUCAGCCCCCCUCACCCUCUAU
Long non-coding RNA from Pseudophryne corroboree (corroboree frog), 716 nucleotides. RefSeq lists it as uncharacterized. NCBI's taxonomy places the organism in Eukaryota, Metazoa, Chordata, Amphibia, Anura, Myobatrachidae. The transcript has 3 exons. The record is from RefSeq and is a predicted model, not a curated record.